GAUGAACGCUGGCGGCAGGCCUAACACAUGCAAGUCGAACGGUAGCACAGAGAGCUUGCUCUCGGGUGACGAGUGGCGGACGGGUGAGUAACGUCUGGGAAACUGCCCGAUGGAGGGGGAUAACUACUGGAAACGGUAGCUAAUACCGCAUAACGUCGCAAGACCAAAGUGGGGGACCUUCGGGCCUCACACCAUCGGAUGUGCCCAGAGAGGAUUAGCUAGUAGGUGGGGUCAUGGCUCAACUAGGCGACGAUCCCUAGCUGGUCUGAGAGGAUGGCCAGCCACAGUGGAACUGAGGCACGGUCCAGAGUCCUACGGGAGGAAGCAGUGGGGAAUAUUGCACAAUGGGCGCAAGCCUGGUGCAGCCAUGCCGCGUGUAUGAAGAAGGCCUUCGGGUUGUAAGGUACUUUCAGCGGGGAGGAAGGCGGUGAAGUUAAUAACUUCACCGAUUGACGUUACCCGCAGAAGAAGCACCGGCUAACUCCGUGCCAGCCGCCGCAGUAA
Molecule: ribosomal RNA, 504 nt
Filed under: uncultured bacterium
Lineage: Bacteria
Description: partial 16S ribosomal RNA
Rfam family: Bacterial small subunit ribosomal RNA
Source: RNAcentral